RNAcentral lists this long non-coding RNA (1529 nucleotides) under Chloebia gouldiae (Gouldian finch). Its description in RNAcentral is "Erythrura gouldiae (Gouldian finch) lncRNA (ENSEGOG00005018191.1)". Lineage: Eukaryota; Metazoa; Chordata; Aves; Passeriformes; Passeridae. The record is from RNAcentral.
UGGACCUGCCCUCGGCCCCGCAGCGCAUCCGGUAAGGAGCCCCGAAAAGCCCCGAAGUCACCCCAAAAACAUCCCCAAAAAAACCAAAAACAUCCCCAAAAAAAUCCCCCAAAAAACCCCAAAAUCACCCCAAAAAUCCCCAAGGUCACCCCAAAAACAUCCGCAAAAAAAACCCAAAAAACCUCCGAAGUCACCCCAAAAACACCCCCAAAAAAACCCCAAAAAAAUCCCUAAAAAAAUCCCCAAAAAAACCCCAAAAACAUCCCCAAAAAAACCCAAAAACAUCCCCAAAAACAUCCCCAAAAAAACCCAAAAAAAUCCCCGAAAAAAUCCCCAAGAACCCCCGAAGUCACCCCAAAAACAUCCCCCAAAAAACCCAAAAAAAUCCCCCAAAAAAUCCCCAUUGACCCCCGAAGUCACCACAAAAAUAUCCCCAAAAAACCCCCGAAGUCACCCCAAAAUCAUCCCCAAAAAACCCAAAAACCCCCGAAGUCACCCCAAAAACAUCCCCAAAAAAACCCCAAAAAAACCCCAAAAUCACCCCAAAAAACCACCCAGAAAAACCCCAAAAACACCCCAAAAAUCCCCCAAAAAAACCCCCAAAAAAACCCCCAAAAAAUCCCCAAAGUCACCCCAAAAACAUCCCCAAAAAAACCCAAAAAACAUCCCUAAAAAAACCCAAAAACAUCCCCAAAAAACCCCCCAAAAAUCCCCAAGGUCGCCCCAAAAAUCCCCAAAGUCACCCNNNNNNNNNNGGGGUGACCUUGGGGAUUUUUGGGGUGAUUUUGGGGUUUUUUGGGGGGCUGGACCUGCCCUCGGCCCCGCAGCGCAUCCGGUAAGGAGCCCCGAAAAGCCCCGAAGUCACCCCAAAAACAUCCCCAAAAAAACCAAAAACAUCCCCAAAAAAAUCCCCCAAAAAACCCCAAAAUCACCCCAAAAAUCCCCAAGGUCACCCCAAAAACAUCCGCAAAAAAAACCCAAAAAACCUCCGAAGUCACCCCAAAAACACCCCCAAAAAAACCCCAAAAAAAUCCCUAAAAAAAUCCCCAAAAAAACCCCAAAAACAUCCCCAAAAAAACCCAAAAACAUCCCCAAAAACAUCCCCAAAAAAACCCAAAAAAAUCCCCGAAAAAAUCCCCAAGAACCCCCGAAGUCACCCCAAAAACAUCCCCCAAAAAACCCAAAAAAAUCCCCCAAAAAAUCCCCAUUGACCCCCGAAGUCACCACAAAAAUAUCCCCAAAAAACCCCCGAAGUCACCCCAAAAUCAUCCCCAAAAAACCCAAAAACCCCCGAAGUCACCCCAAAAACAUCCCCAAAAAAACCCCAAAAAAACCCCAAAAUCACCCCAAAAAACCACCCAGAAAAACCCCAAAAACACCCCAAAAAUCCCCCAAAAAAACCCCCAAAAAAACCCCCAAAAAAUCCCCAAAGUCACCCCAAAAACAUCCCCAAAAAAACCCAAAAAACAUCCCUAAAAAAACCCAAAAACAUCCCCAAAAAACCCCCCAAAAAUCCCCAAGGUCGCCCC